AAAAAAAAAAAAAAGUGUGAAAAGUCAAAACGUUGACCAAGACAAAAUAGGAACCCGUGCAAGGAACCCAUGCAAGGAAAUCCUAUUGGGAACCAAAGAAUUUCACCACUGAAACACAAUUGAAAAUCACCACAGCAUUUCAAUUCUUAGAUAGAAGUAAUGCUCUAAAAAUAUCAAAGCGAUGGAAAAAUAGAGAAAAAAAAAUCAGAAUAUCCUGAUGAGCCUGGCACAUGGAAUAUGGUGUCCAUAUGCCUCCUGGUUUUAGACCAAACUAAAUAAAAAUCCACAGACCAAUGCCGCAAACAUCACCGCCAACUUUUUGAGCCAAGCACGAGCCUAUUAGACUGCUUCCCAUUAAAGGAUAUGCUAGAUUCACCAACAUGCCCUGGAAUGCAGCCAGCCCACCAGGAGUGAAGGGAUGCCUUCUGGGCUGGCCAAAUGUUAAGAAGGAAUGUCAACAGGAUGCUCUUAAAGUUGCCCUGUGGUGAGCUGCGGUGGGACAACUUGAAGGAGCAGGAAAAAGGACCCAUGUUAAGACUUAUUCAGACGCUGCGUUUUGUGAUGACUUCUAGUAGUAACAGCUUUACAGAGAGAGCAACAGCUGGCCAGCUGCAGGGAGAAGCAGAGCAGAUCCUUCUGACCAGAGGCAUUUGAGGACUGGCCCCGCGAGGGAGCCCACCUGGAAAGAGCAACCGGCCCUGUGAACAAAGAUUGGAACCGUAAGCCACAGAGAUGUGGCCUUGCGACAGUGUGGACCAGCGCGGAGAGCACUGGGGAACAUUUGACUAGUGAAGACUUUGGAUAUAUAAACCCGUAACAUGAUGUAUUGUCUCCAGCUGAGUACAAAACCUAAAGGAAAUUCUGCAGAACAGAUUUCAAAUCCACACUGAGGAGAAAGAGCACAGGAUAAGGAACCUGGAGGCCAAGAUUCCAUUCCUGGAUCUCUGACCAACCAGCUGGGUGACCCACCCUUCAUCUUGCUAACUUCUUGGAGCCACAAUUUAAUCAUCUAUGUGCACCCCGUGUACUCCUCAGGAUGGUGGAGAGCUCAUUUGCAUACAAAUGCUCAGCACAUUGUGGGUCCUGGUUGGCAGUGUUCAGCCUGGAAAUAAAGUUAUUGAUGGCUGUUUAUAAGAGAGACAAAUUGGAGCAGGGUUUGGAGCAAGAGACCAGAAGCCAGUCCAUCACCUGCUCCCUCGGUGACCUCAUGUCACCUCUUCAUGCUUCAGUUUCUCCAUCUGUUGGUGGAAAGGGUGAUACAUGAUACCUUGCUCUCAGACUGUCAGGAACAUCUUUGGAAAGCACUAGGAGAUGCUGGAAGAGGCCCGAAAGCCUUCAUAGUUUCCUUUAUGUGGUAAAAUAAAACCUCAUCUGAUGGUUUUUAAAUUACAGAAAAUAUGAUUUUUUUUUCUCUCAAAAUAAGAAGAUGAAAAAGUACUUAUAUUUCUUCAUUCAUUGGUCAACAGUAUUUCAUUAAAUCCACUUCCAUGGCUGGACCUGAUGAUUCAUUUAAAUAUAAACAGAUAACCUAUAGAAGGUGCAGAAGUAGAUGCUAUUAUUACCGAUAGUUAACUUUGCUACUGCGAAAUGCAUUUCUACACUACUUUUAACAUUUUUAGCAUGCUUCCUCUCUCACCCUCACUACACACACACACACACACACACACACACACACUUCCCCAUGGUAGAAUGGCAGAGAAAUAUCAUCUCCUCUAUUUUACAAAUGAGAAAACCUAAACUAGAAGAAACCAGUAAACUGUCAAGUCCAUGCAGAUAAUUAAGGACAGUUAGAAUAAUGUAAGCCUUUGAAACCCAGUGCUUAUCCUUCUCAACUUCAUUUUCUAUAACCCUGAAGACUGGCUUUUUUCUCUCUCUCUUUCUGUUUUUGUACAUCUUUUUUUUCCCCUCCACUUACUGAUCUCACAGGGCUACAGGUAUCUUCUCCAUAUUUCUUCUCUAGGAAAGCUUCUAAAGCAACACUCAUUUCUGAGGUUCUCAAGAAAAGUUUACAGGAAAGUGAGAGCUCAGAUAUGACUGUUUGCUUGUUAAGCUUGUUCCUCGUAAGCCCGAAGAAUAACCUGCUGAAAAUCAUAUUACUGCGCAACCGGGCCCUCCAGACUGCUCUAAGUGGAGGAUCCAGUCAUGCUGCACAAGUCAUCUGCAGGCUGAAAUAGCUGUGUCGUGAUGCUAUUACGGACAUGAGCUUGUUUUGUAUGAGCUUCUAAAGUGUAGCCAGGCUUAAGAAUCAGAAGGGAAAGCAUGGGAUGAACACCAAAAGAGCACCUUAAACUGAUACUUUUUUCCUGUCAGGAAUUAAAUUGCAAGUUUAUUAGAAACUGACGAAGAGACACAGAAAAGCUAUAGCUGACAAGGUACCAACCCCAUUGCUCACACAUAUCCGACAACGACUUAAUUCUCUGCAUCCCAUUUGCCAACCCUGUCUGCUAUUAUUCCUUCCCAGCAAGUACCCCCAAGUACCUGCCCAGUACCAAUUAGCCAGAAAAGUUUCCUGAGAUUUUAAAAUACUGAAACAAAGAGGGCUGCCAAUGGGAAACCCAAUACAAUAGACAGCUGGCGGCUGCUGGCCAUGGAUGGCAUGGCUGCCCAAGCUGACAGAAAGAACGAACCCUCUCAAAGAUGCUCCUGUCUGCCCCACUUGAGCCACUACUGCCGGGGCAGGCAUCCCUGGGAAAUUGCCCUGUAAAAUGAGCAGCUCCUAUUCAACAGCAGACUCCCAGCUGCUUCCCACCUCAGAGGCUGCUAUUGGGCAUCACAGGGCAGUCCUCCUGGCCUGGCUCGCUCUCAGCGGGACUAUUAGGAGCCUAGGCUGGGAGGCACAGGUGGGUGGGGGCAAUGCGGCAGCCCAGGUGGCACACCUGCCCCUUGCAGGGCCCUCUCCAGCUUUAGAUAGACGGGGCUGGUGAUUCUAGGGUUGGGCGCCCUUUCCAAGUGUAUUGAUCUCCCCUCCUCUUCCCAAAUUGCACCAUGCACCUUCACCCACGCUAAACCCCUGCCUGGAAACAGAACACUGUGGCCAGCCCUUCCCCCAAGAGCCAGAAGGGCUAGCUCUGGCCCACAGCCAGGCUCUAAAGAAACAGCAUAGGGCAGAGAGAGGCGGUGGGUGGGGCCGAGAGCCUUGUGUUACACAUUCAAAGCCUAAUUUUGGAUCAGAGUCAUCCUUGUAGCCAAGCCUGAAAGAUCACUGAGGCCCCAAAAUGAACCCGCAGCUCUGAGGCGGGGCCUGGACGAACCCACAGCUUUCUUGCCCACAUGCUACUCUCCUAACUGAAGUUAAAUUAGGCUUGUUUGGAUUUUCACUGGUAUUUUUUUAAGCAACAUCAGUUGUCUUUUAGCCUCAUGCUAGCUGAGGGCAGUGCACGUUUCCUACCCCUAUCUUUCUGUACACAUUCACAAAAUGCCUCAGCUGAGACGCUGACCAGAAGCCAGGGCUCCUAAUGCUACUGCCUAAGACAUGCCAUUCUGCUGGUGGUCACACCAGUCAGACAAUAGGCCAGUCAGACGACGGCAGCUGCAGGUGAAAGCAGGCACCUUCCCACUAACAAUAGAACCAACUCUCUCUGACAUGGAAGAGUCUCUUGCAAGAGGAGAAACCGACCCGAACCAGCGCUGGCCUCUGGAAGCCACAGGAGAGACAGAAGGGCUGCUCCCUCUUCUUACAAGGGUGUGGGCACUUCCUUCAGAGUAUUUGUUGCUGCCAAGAUCAGGCUGUUGCCUCCCUGGAACUCGAGGUAUCGGGACGCUUGUUUGCAGAGCUGGCCAGCCAGCAGCCCAGAGCAGCUGGUUGUAAUUAUGCGUUGCAGCUUCAGAGGAAGUUGCUGGCUGCGGAGCGUGUGCUGGGCCUGGCUGCACAUUGGCUGCUGGGCUUAAGGGAACAAUGGAGAUAGAAACCAGUGGCAGCAGGGGAAGGGGAGGAGCGGGAUGAGGGUGAAGACAGGCAGAAAGAAAGGGCAAGAGCUGCUCCCAGCGCUGCAUAUGGAAAAACCCACAUCUGCACUCCAAGGAUCCGUCUCUUGUUCCCAGACUUAAAACAAAGUGCGUGCCCCUCUGUGAACAGCCCCCUGACUUUUCUUCUCAAGCUGUACCUGCUGCACACUGUAUUUAGAGAAGUGUGCCUGGCUGACAUAUUGAAUAGCACUUCUCAGCCUGUUUAAUCUAAAUUGACUGCAUCUUUGUAGCAGCUGGCCACAGGGAAAAACAAAAGCAUUCAUGAUGAAAAAGGCAAAUCUCUCUUGACGAGAAAGUACCGCAGCAGUGGUAGCAGCAGUUAAACAUUUCAGUACCUUGCUAAAUGCUCUGCCCAGAUGCGUAUAUCAGGAGGAAAAGAAAAAAAAGACAACUUUAUAGAAGUGAAAUGUGCGUUAAUUAACAAGUUUUUUUUUUUUUUUUUUCCUGGAUGGAGAAAAGCUUAUUAAU
Molecule: long non-coding RNA, 4434 nt
Organism: Cercocebus atys (sooty mangabey)
Lineage: Eukaryota; Metazoa; Chordata; Mammalia; Primates; Cercopithecidae
Exons: 3
Source: RefSeq, a predicted model, not a curated record